AAGACCCCUUUUUACGAAGCAACUAAAACAUUCAUAAAAGAAAGGAAACAAUAUUUCACGUUGGCAUUGUUGGCUGCUCUGGAGCUGUCAAUUAAUUCUUUUCCGGGAAAAGAGUUGAAGAAACCGGUGGUAGAAGCCGCUCGUCGGCUAUCAAGCAUUUCGUCCGCGACAGAACCGGGAAAAAACGUUUGAUUGCGCUCAGCCAUUCGGUCAAUAAAAUCCCGAGAACAGGGAUCAAAAGGUUGCCAGGACUAUCGGAAACUUGCCAAAGGGGCCGUGAAAAACACGGCCCCUUUCGUUCACCGCUUCGGUUGGAACUCUGACUCCCUAUCAAACUCUCGGGAAUGAUUUUGAUUCCGAUCACGCACGAGGUGGAGGAGAACCCUUUGCCCAGGUGGAGGUGCAGCAGAAACGGUGGCCAGAAAUUCCGGAUUGUGUGCCUUUACGGCUAUCCUGACUCACAGCUCUUUGGCGCUGAUGAUAACUCGUCCACGAGACAUUUUCUUGUUCCCUCCACGAUCAAUUUGUUGUCCGAGGUCGAUUAUCGGAGCGGCGAGAAACGAAAGCUGUCGGAGUUGCAUCCAGUCACGACCACAGGAGGUCACAAGUUUGGCGGUCGUUGUGCGAGUUUCCGGAGGGUACCCAUCCGGAGUGCAGUUGUGCUGAUUGUCUUGCAUUCAACUAAAAUGCAUUCGACAGAGUGCAGCAAGAUACCGGCAUUGUUCGCAGCCGUCAGUCUGCGCAUCUGGCGCUCACAGGGCGUCGCGUUUCUUGACCGGAUAAUAGCAGAGAUGGAAGGUGGAUUAUUCGCUCGUCAUCCAGUCCAGUUGAAAUCACAUUCCCAGGAGAGCAAUCUCAGGUGGGGAGGCUUCGACACUGCCUCAGAACGCCGGACAAGACGAAUUAAAAAGGGAUGGAACACCACGUAAGUCACACAAUGCUUUGUAUUAAGGGGGGUCAAUAAAAUGGGUAACACCUAACUUUGCAACAUUUUGUUGUCAGAAAUUAA
Long non-coding RNA from Uranotaenia lowii, 1009 nucleotides. RefSeq lists it as uncharacterized. The record is from RefSeq and is a predicted model, not a curated record. The transcript has 3 exons. Lineage: Eukaryota; Metazoa; Arthropoda; Insecta; Diptera; Culicidae.